CUGGCUCAGGACGAACGCUGGCGGCGUGCCUAACACAUGCAAGUCGAGCGAGGAGAUCCUUCGGGAUGAUCCUAGCGGCGGACGGGUGAGUAACACGUGGGCAACCUGCCUCAUAGAGAGGAAUAGCCUUCCGAAAGGGAGAUUAAUACCUCAUAACAUUGCAGUUUCGCAUGGAACAGCAAUUAAAGGAGCAAUCUGCUAUGAGAUGGGCCCGCGGCGCAUUAGCUAGUUGGUGAGGUAACGGCUCACCAAGGCGACGAUGCGUAGCCGACCUGAGAGGGUGAUCGGCCACAUUGGGACUGAGACACGGCCCAGACUCCUACGGGAGGCAGCAGUGGGGAAUAUUGCACAAUGGGGGAAACCCUGAUGCCAGCAACGCCGCGUGAGUGAUGACGGCCUUCGGGUUGUAAAGCUCUGUCUUCAGGGACGAUAAUGACGGUACCUGAGGAGGAAGCCACGGCUAACUACGUGCCAGCCGCGGC
RNAcentral lists this ribosomal RNA (482 nucleotides) under uncultured bacterium. Its description in RNAcentral is "bacterial SSU rRNA". It matches the Rfam family "Bacterial small subunit ribosomal RNA", at positions 19 to 518 of the family's 1533-position model. The record is from RNAcentral.